GACAGCAAUAUCCAUAUCCUCAACCGUUGUUCGCUCUAACCAGCCUCCGCAUUCUUCAAGGGCCUUGAUUCUCCAUACACCAGCAGUGCCAUUGAAGCCGAAGAAGUUAAUGAACCAUCCAUUGACUUGUUGCUCUACUUCAAAAUGAAACGCAAGAUUUAUGUUCUGCAACCGUGUAAGCAAAUUCUCGUCCUUGUUCACAAAAGCCCACCUUGUUUGGACAAGAGCGACAUCAUCAUGUCCCUUGAAAUAGGGAACAGUGUUCUUCAGAAAAUCUGGUGUUGGUUGGAAAUCUGCAUCAAAGAUUGCUACAAAUUCAUAAUUUUUUACAUAGUCACAACUCAUUGCAGAUUUGAGAUUUCCUGCCUUAUAGCCUGUGCGUAUAAGACGGUGACGAUAUAUGAUGUGCACACCCUUCUGUUGCCACUUUUGUACUUCAGCCUUUAUAAGUCCUUGAACACCCAAAUCAUCAGAGUCAUCUAAAAUUUGUACAAGCAUUCUGUCCUUAGGCCAAUCCUGGACACAUACUGCUGCAAUCGAUUGUUGGUAUACCUCCCUCUCAUUGCACAUUGGUAUCUGUAGCAACACCAUGGGAUAAUCCUCUGAAUUUAGAUUUUCUACAUCAGAAGAGUAGUCAAUCUCAGCUAAAGGUUUCAGGCCUCGGAACUUGAUCCAAAAGCAACCAAGUACAAGAACCACUCGAUCUACUGACUGUAUUAGGAACAAUAAAAUACACAUAUUGAUCAAGCUCUGCAACGGUGGCGCCAAAUAGUUGGCCCUAAUGUCUAGCCAGUUGGCAUAGACGUGCUCCACUAAGUCCACCACCUCCGCCGACGCGGAUUCCACAGUAGGAGGACUGAAAUGCCAUCCUCUGAAGUAAGCAACAAGCUCAAACACUAACAAUAUCACUGAAACAGUUAAAAACACUUUAAUUACGCGAUAGAGUCUAGAAUCCGAGCGAGGAGGCGCCGAAUUGGAUGUAACUAUUCGUCGAUUGGCGGUGCGAACAAUGGAAAUGAAGCCAUUUGUGAGGAAUGCGAUUGAAUUAGCAAUUUGCUGAAACUUGAGAAGGCAAAUCCAAGAGAGUUGGCGAGCACUGCGAGUACGUUCCUUCUCGGCAACGGUUGGGCUGGAGAUCUCAACAGUUAGAAAGCUAGAGUUUUCGGAAGAAGAAGGGAAGAGGUCCUCACUGCCAUUGGCUGACCGCUGCUUGUUCCACCAUUCCUGAAACUCUUGAUUAGGCGGCCGAGACAUAUAUAUUUAGGUAAAGGCAGUGCGAGUGAAGCAAUCGUCGCCGUCGAUACUGAUACUUGUCAGAUCUCGAAUGUGUACCGGCGAUGGAACAUAGAGAGUGAAGUGAGAGUGCCUACUGCGAUCCGGAUUAUGACGAAGUUAAGCCGGAAGGUAAUGAAGCUAAAUUUAG
RNAcentral lists this unclassified non-coding RNA (1423 nucleotides) under Hevea brasiliensis (rubber tree). Lineage: Eukaryota; Viridiplantae; Streptophyta; Magnoliopsida; Malpighiales; Euphorbiaceae. The record is from RNAcentral.